AUGCCUCUUUUACUGCUGGGCUGAGCGGCUGUACAGCCUGGUUGUGUCUUAUUGGAUGCCCAACACCCUUGACGGCUGUUGCUGACUGAGUGGUGCCUCUAGCGACAGGAAAGAAGUUAACUAAUUAUGAACAUAUGGUUUGGCAGGCACCUUGUUAGCUUGCUGCUGCGUAGGUGUUUGGAAGCAGGAGAAGGGGAAACUUUGAGGUAGAAGGUGCGGUUAAAAGUCCCACUGAUAAGCCUGGGGGAGAUUUGACUGAUCCUAAUCUAUUCUUUUUGUCAGGAGUCAGCGUGCUUCUGGCAGCAACAGCUUGGUAAUAACAGAGAUUUGUGGCCCUUAAGCUCUUGUGGUGAUAGCCGGCACACGACCAGACCAGUCAACUGGCUGCUUAAAAGGUCUCGCAUUAAUUGGCCAUAGUGGUGAGAACAGAAAUGAGAAGUUAGGUCAAGGUAGAACACAUGGUCUACCUGAAAUGGCUCACCAUGAUCAGCUGCACAGAUGUCGUUCUUUAUUGAUGUGAUCCACAGUAGAGGAAUAAGAGAAUCCUUGGGGAAUGGGCUGCAAGAAAGUGUGUAUAAGAGCAGCAAGUGUGGCCUCUGUGUGCAAAUUACCUCAAGGAAAACACAGGUGUAUACAGAAUUGGAAGAAGAGUUAUCACAUUGCUUGUGGGUUAUUAGAU
RNAcentral lists this long non-coding RNA (679 nucleotides) under Mus musculus (house mouse). RNAcentral's name for it is "long non-coding RNA chr16:26991894-26992573". The record is from RNAcentral. Lineage: Eukaryota; Metazoa; Chordata; Mammalia; Rodentia; Muridae.